RNAcentral lists this ribosomal RNA (446 nucleotides) under uncultured bacterium. RNAcentral describes it as "partial 16S ribosomal RNA". It matches the Rfam family "Bacterial small subunit ribosomal RNA", at positions 338 to 795 of the family's 1533-position model. The record is from RNAcentral.
CCUACGGGUGGCAGCAGUCGAGAAUCAUUCACAAUGGGGGAAACCCUGAUGGUGCGACGCCGCGUGGGGGAAUGAAGGUCUUCGGAUUGUAAACCCCUGUCAUGUGGGAGCAAAUUAAAAAGAUAGUACCACAAGAGGAAGAGACGGCUAACUCUGUGCCAGCAGCCGCGGUAAUACAGAGGUCUUAAGCGUUGUUCGGAAUCACUGGGCGUAAGGCGUGCGUAGGCUGUUUCGUAAGUCGUGUGUGAAAGGCGCGGGCUCAACCCGCGGACGGCACAUGAUACUGCGAGACUAGAGUAAUGGAGGGGGAAGCGGAAUGCGCGGUGUAGCAGUGAAAUGCGUAGAUAUCGAGAGGAACACUCGUGGCGAAGGCGGGUUCCUGGACAUUAACUGACGCUGAGGCACGAAGGCCAGGGGAGCGAAAGGGAUUAGAUACCCCAGUAGUC